Molecule: long non-coding RNA, 474 nt
Filed under: Crocodylus porosus (Australian saltwater crocodile)
Lineage: Eukaryota; Metazoa; Chordata; Crocodylia; Crocodylidae
Description: lncRNA (ENSCPRG00005014127.1)
Source: RNAcentral
AAAGCAAAACGUGGAGACAGACACCCUGCUAUUCGAAAAGUAUAACUACACAUGCAGUAGCUCUCAGCAAAGGAUGUGAUUUUUUUGCUUUGCUCUUGGAAUGUGGAACUGAAUGGCACCAUCAGGGGCAAGGAGAAGUUAAUCCAGACAAGUUAUGUUCUGAUCUAGCCAGGUUCAGUGGAAAGAGAAGUAUCAUAAUCAACACUGGAUUGGGAAUUGAAGUAAAAGUGUGAACAAUAUAUUUGUGGCAUCUGCGAUGGUCAUAAGAAGUGCAUGCAGAAAAACAGCCCAUUAGCAAUUAUUAACUGCAAGACAAAAUGAAGAGAAGGCUCACAGAAUCAAGAGGGACCAUGAAGUCUAAUGAGCGGGGGAACCAGAUUGUCCAGUUCUUCCCUCUGUCUUGGCUCAGUGGCUGGGGAGAUCCUAACCUGCUUGUUACCCUCAAAAAAGAUGUGCUCCCUGAGCUGUAUCUGG